Pogonomyrmex barbatus (red harvester ant) is the source of this 5880-nucleotide unclassified non-coding RNA. Lineage: Eukaryota; Metazoa; Arthropoda; Insecta; Hymenoptera; Formicidae. The record is from RefSeq and is a predicted model, not a curated record.
UUCCUCGUGGCGUUUCAAAUUAAUAUAGAAUAAUGUAUACACUCAACCAACUUUUCCGCGAAUACAGUAAAAGAAUUUAAUAAAAACGUUGAAAUCAGUGCUCAUGAAAUUCUCGCUAUAUCUCGCUUCAGAAUUUAAGAAAUUGACAUCGGUGCGUCAAUGAGUUUCGAUUGCUGCUAAAACAUCAUAUGGUAGCCUCGGGACAUCCCGUGGAGAAGAAGCGGAGGAAGUAAGGCGGGACGGGCAGGAGCGUAAACAAGGAGAAUGCAUCGCGGGGGUGGUAUAACGGGGUACGAGGGUGAGGGGUUGUACUCGUCGCUCAUGCGCGCCUGGAACCCCGCCCUGUCGCUUCGGACCACGGCCUGUCCUAUCGAGGACUCCUCGCCGAGGUGGUCGAAUAGUCACGCUUUAACCCGCGAUCCGCGAGGCGGACGCACUCGCCAGGAACGCGCUGGUGCUCGUACGCGAGAAAAGAAGGAGGAGGAGGAGGAAGAGGAGGCUCCGCGAACAUCUGUCCCGGUCCGCGCCUUCGUCGUGACACGGUUCCCUCCUUGAGAUCGCAGGAUCAACGAGAUCAACCGUGAUCCCGAUCGCGGCAGCCGGUGUGUAUGUGUGUAUGUGUCUUAUAUGUACCUACCAGGAAGGAUCGACGGCGGCGGAUCGAUUGUCGGUACGCAACGGGGAGUCGCGUGUGCGAAAGGAAUUUCGAGACCGCGGAGUGACCGGUGCCGAUGCCAAAUAUUCGAUGCGUGGCAACCAGUUGCGGAUGUGAGCUGGUGUUAAGCGGAACCCAAGUCAAGUGUUGCAGCGAAUCCUUCGGUCCUUCGGUGCAAGAGCCAAGGCAGGAUCGGAGACCGCGUCGAGGCGUCAUUAAGAUUCACCAGCGGAGCCUCGAGUACGGAUUUUAAAUCACGGCGAAUACCUCGCUCUUCACGGUGGAUCGAUCUGGAGCGCGUGGCGGAUCAUCAAAUGUCGCGACCGCUGUUGAUUGCUGUUGAUACCUGGUGAUUUGUAAUGGUUAACGGCGGCUUACAUCCGGACGAAGCGCGUCUUCAUUAGCGAAGAAAAAUGUUGUUGACAAUUGUGACUUCCUCUAGCAUAAUUAUAAUCAGUCCUAAAGCUGGCGAGCAAUCGGUACGUAGAGGAUAGAAACAGUCGCGUCACGCCGACCUGCUUGUCAUAUUAGUUUAACAUACGCGAUAUCGAAUUCCUUUGACUCGAUAUCCGUCGUUCAAAUACCACAACGUGCCGCCUUACUGAUACAAAAAAAAAGAAGAAAAAAAAAUAAGAAAAACAAGAAAACGAACGACAGGCCUAACUUGGGAUCAACAGAUAAAACGAUUUCGAAAAUAGUACGCGAGUUUUCUAAUAGUACGCGUGAGGAAUCACCAAUCUUCUCGACGAUUUUUCAUAUACGUGCGCGGGCUGUUACGCGCGCGCAUUAUCGAAAUGCACGAUUUCCUGCAAAACAUGAGCUGAAAGGGCUGAAAGGUCGUGAUCGAUCGACUCAAUUUGAUAACCCAAAGGAAUCUUAAAACGUGCAAGGUCAUUAUGUAUAGCGAUAAGGUAAGGACUUUCCUCGGCUAAAAAGUCAGAAAGGAAAGAGUCGCGAGAGGUGAGAAGCCGCGGUACGUGGCCUAUCUAUACGCGAUGCCGGGAUUUACAAGUAUUACCUACUUGAGCGAGUAUUUGAAGAUGCAGACGCGGCGAUAAUCGAAUUCAUCGAAUCCUGUUCGCGUAAUGUCGAGCCAAGGCCAUCGCGAGACGUACUUGGAGCUUUACGAAGGGCGCAGCAUCGAUUGCAAGAUCUUACUUCGUGGCGUUCCUCGAGAUCUCGGGAGAGACCCGCGACGAUAGAGCGCUCGUCGACGAAACGAUAACGCCGGGUUGCCCAUUAAGAAUUUAACGCAAGCCACAUUUUCGACGCAAAUUAUAUCCUAGUAUUUUGUAUCGAGGAACCCGUAUCGUCCGAUGCAAUCCCCAUUGGCCUACAUGAUAAAGUCAUCCGACGACCGCCGUACGCCGCACUUCGAGACGCAAACGAGUUAGUAAACGGUCUCGCUCAAUGCUUCCUAGCGAUAGACGGAAACGCCAUCGAGUUCACUUGGUCCCCGGUACCCUACCAGACGAGUCGUCCACGAGAAAGCCGAUGAUCGAUGCGUGUCCUCUCGAUAGUUGAUCCCGGAGGAUCAAGGACCUCCACCCCCGUGUCUGAACCGCAUCUAAAGAAAAGCGAAGCGAUGCUCCCGCCUGUAACUCAGCACGCUCGAUGAAUCGUCGCAGAAUCGAGCAUCGAGCAGCAGCCAGCACCACCCGAAGAGGAAGAAGCCGUAGGAGGAGCUUGGCCGCGUAGCGUCGUCCCGAUCUCGCGAGAGAGAGCCGUCCCGGGUGAUGCGCGGAAGCAGCUCCGAACUCCUGCUGGAGGCGAGCUGCAGCCAGUGUCAGAGCGAGCGGGGACACCAGCGUCGGGACAGCGGCGACGGGUACGACUUCCACGAGCGGGAGCUACGUCGUCGCAAGCUGUUGGAGCUCGGGUUCGGCGCGUCGCGGCGCCGACCGCCACGGCGUACCUGCCGUCAGCGGUUUAAUUUCUACGCCACGUCAGCGCUGGCCUUCGUCGCUACCUCAGGCGGCGCGGCGCUCCUCUUCCUGGUGCCGCUCUACGUCGACCCGGCCAUCAGCACCCUAGCGGCGGACUUCUCGCCGGAGCCGGUCAUCUGCACGACCUCGAGGCGCGAGGACCUCGCCGGCCUCUUCAAUUGCACAUGGAGCUCGUGUCGCGAGGGGUGCACCAGUGACGUGUACAAGUGCACCCACAUAUACGUCACGUACACACCGUGGAGUAACGCCAGUAUGAAGAACGACACCGGCGGCAGGAACAACACCACCGCGAACAUCACAACCACUACUCUGAGCACCGUCACUGCCGUGUCCUCUCCGGGGGACGUCGAGGCUGUGCUGCUGGUGAACAUCAAGGGCUGCGGAUACCCGCCGGUAGUCGACUGCGUGAACUUCACCCGCGAGUUGGGUUACGAGGGCGCGAGGUUUCCCUGCCAUUACAGCCGGGUGAACGGUAGUAUAGUGAUGGCGAACUAUAAUCGCGAGGCACAGGUCGCUACCAUCAUGCACUUCUUCGCGGCGCCUUUCGUAGUGACUCUCGCGACCAGCGUCGCGCUGUGUGUGAUGCACUGUGACUGCAGGUGCACGCCGCCACCGCGACAUCCGCCGCGCGGCAUGAGAAGAUCCAGGGGCAACGACCUCAGCUGCUGCAUGAGUAUAAAAAAUCGAUAACGGGUUAGAAGCGUGCCAGAAGUCGUCCGAUUUAGAAGGUGUAUUUGACGAGGCAAAUAAACUUUCUAAACCAUACGUAAGACAAAGACGACUUAACAAUGAUGUUACUACCACCGUACAUACCAUCGUCAUGAAACGAUACUCUUUCGGCUGCAAAUACUGCCUUAGAAGAAAAGAGCGAAUCGCAGAAACGGAAAUCGGAGAGAGAGAGAUAUCGAUUCAUCAUCUCUCUCUCGUAAUCUCCACUAAUUAACUCCAAAAGGCGCAUUCAUCUCAUUAACGAAACGAGUGCGCCACCGAAAGCCGUGACUGCGCUCUCCGUGCAACGCAAUGAACAUGUAAAAAGAGAUCUCUAAUUAUCGAUGCCGUAAGUAAUUCCGUGCAUUCGGAGUAAUCGACAGGCUCUCACGGACGUUGAUAUGCUGCGUGAAUGAACGAUAGAGCAGCCUCGCGUAACACUCUCGCGCAAUUCAUCAUUCUUCCAAAUGCUCUUUUUUUCCUCCUUCUUCUCUUAAUUUUUCUUCUUGAUUGAGUCGUUGAGCGAAACGUUGAGUCAUAUACAUUACGUAAGUCACAUUUUUCUCAUUAAGGUAAGAGGUAGUUUUGCAAAACUACCUCCUAUAAAAUCCUGUUAAUAUAUUAUAGCAAUUUUUCUAGAUCAAUAGAAUUACCUAACGUAUACUCGAACGGAAUAUUUUAACAAAAACCACUCAAAAUAAUAGUAACGUAUAACUUACGUAAUUAUUGACUUGCCGUAAUUCUUGACCGUUAUUUCGCUCAACCGCUGAACUCUUUCUUCUCUCCGCAUGCCUCUCCCGCACAAAUCAACGUUGCGUCGAAAGAAAAUAAAAGGGACCAGAUAUUGUUGAAUCAAGAAUCUCACGUCAAGAAGCUAUAAUAAUCAGACAGCAAGGAUAGAAAGAAUUACAAGUGUGUUGUUAUUUAUACUCUCGUCUUUUUAUACUCUCUAAACCCUCUAAAAUGCCUCCUCGCACACUUCCGUCGCAAGAAUCGCUGGGAAUGGACCUUGUCGAGUUUCGCGAUACCGCUCUACGAGGGUGAGAUAUUAAUCCACGUCCAGACGGCAGGUGCAAGAGAGAGCUAGAUGCACGAUUGGAAUCGAAGGCUGGCGGUUCUGCUGUUUUUUAAGCAUCGCGGUUCAACGUGACGCGCGAGCCUCGAGGGCUCAUUUCCUCUCCGAGUGCUACCUUGUUAUCUUUCCACUUCCGACCGUUUGUCAUUUCCACGGCGAUGAUAUUAGACGGAAGACUGGAAGAUUGGGGAUGGCGAGGAUGACAGCUAGCAAAUGGCAGCCUGGGCUGUCAUACAUCAGAUUUGGAUCAACCGGCGACCCUGGCGAUGUGAUAGUCUUUCUCUUUCUUCUCUCCUUUCUCUUUCUCUCUUUCUUUGACUCGCCUCUUUUUACUCGUCUCUUCUUUUUCACUUUUCUUGCGGAGGUGCUUUGCCGCCGGACGUAUCGCGUGCGUUUCCACCGCAAACGGUAUUUCCGUUGUCAGGGUUUUUCGCUUUUAUCUCGCCACGAAAAUUGUUACACGAGGCCACGGGAAUUGUUACACAAAUCAUUGUAAACCGUAAUAAUGUAAUUAUGCUUGUCCGACUCUGGGUUUCGGGAUUAUAUAUCUCGGUAGUCGCGUUGUAUCUGAAUGAAACCAACGUGUAUCAUUUCCCGUUUAAUGUUUUCUAUUUAUUUCUGUUUAUCUUGUCGAUGAUUUUCAACAAAAUUGUCGCCGUUCAUUUCCUAUUCUAAGUAGCUUCCUAUUCCUAAGUACGAGUAAUGAUAAGUAAGGCCACCAUGGAAUUUAUGAAGAUUAUAGAGCUAGAAAAAAAAAAGAAAAUACGAAAUAAAAUAUUGUGAGAAACAGUGAAGUCGUAUGGUAUUCCUCAUUCCACGGGAUUUAUGGGAUCAAUUUAAAGUGUAUCUUAUUAAAGCAACGAUUUUGCAUGCUGUUUGAUCUCCGUUCAACGAUAUUCUCGAAAUUUGUCGUGCGCGAUAGAGAAAAGACGCGACACAUGAUACUGCUGUCGUGUCACUGUUACUGAAGAUCAUGUUUCGUAUCAAAUGAAAGUAAAGAUGAAGUACGGCAAAUUCCGUUAUCGUAUCCUUUUUCCUUAGAAUUUCUAUGGAACGGACAGAUAAGCCGGUCGUGCUAUGAAAUACGAGAAAUUCUUUUCCAACACGAAAAAUUUACCCCGGCGAGAUUACGUGUGCUCUCAUCAUGCUAACGAUUAUGAUUCACUUUUCACUCAAGCCUUACGGUAUAUAAAUUAUGCCAGAUAAAUGGACUUCUAAUCGCGAUAAGAAACACUUCCAUUUCUCGUAAAAAGGAAUUACUUCCGCAGGAAGAGGAAGAGAGAAAGAGAGAGAAUAGAGCUAGCUUUCUCGCAACUGCUUAAAGUGAAUCUAACAAAAUGAUGAAUAUACUUGAUGAACUUGGUAAUCUGUUUUUCUGAGAAUUAGGGAGAAUUGAAUUUGAUCCUCGGAAAAAAACGGGAAGUAUAGGCGUGCUCGUUAACUUACGAUAACAUCGAGAUGACAUCGUACAUAAGCGGAUGAGUAGGGUAAAAAAA